Salmo salar (Atlantic salmon) is the source of this 58-nucleotide non-coding RNA. NCBI's taxonomy places the organism in Eukaryota, Metazoa, Chordata, Actinopteri, Salmoniformes, Salmonidae. The record is from Rfam.
UGGCUCAGUUAGUAGAGCAUGGUGUUUGCAAUGCUAGGGUUAUGGGUUCAAUUCCCAU